RNAcentral lists this ribosomal RNA (376 nucleotides) under Nematoda sp. RNAcentral describes it as "bacterial SSU rRNA". It matches the Rfam family "Eukaryotic small subunit ribosomal RNA", at positions 252 to 626 of the family's 1831-position model. The record is from RNAcentral. Lineage: Eukaryota; Metazoa; Nematoda.
CUGAAUAACUACGCAAAUCGCUUAGGUUUUAAACCGGCGAUGUGUCCUUCAAGGGUCUGCCUUAUCAACUUUCGAUGGUCGUUUCUGUCACUACCAUGGACGCGACGGGGAACGGAAAAUUAGGAUUCGACUCCGGAGAGUCAGCCUGAGAAACGGAUACUCCUUCUAAGGAAGGCGGCAGGCGCGCAAAUUACCCACUCUCGGAAAGAAGAGGUAGUGACGAAAAAUAACGAGAUAACCCGCUCUAGCGAGUUAUCAUCGGAAUGAGUACAAUCUAAAUCCUUUAACGAGGACCUAGCGGAGGGCAAGUCUGGUGCCAGCAGCCGCGGUAAUUCCAGCUCCGCCAGUGUAUAUCUAUGCUGCUGCGGUUAAAAAG